CAACAAGUCACAGCCGGCCACA
This 22-nucleotide microRNA is filed under the name Cavia porcellus (domestic guinea pig). Its description in RNAcentral is "cpo-miR-7-3-3p". Its record names the gene cpo-miR-7-3-3p. Lineage: Eukaryota; Metazoa; Chordata; Mammalia; Rodentia; Caviidae. The record is from miRBase by way of RNAcentral.